Molecule: ribosomal RNA, 253 nt
Filed under: uncultured bacterium
Lineage: Bacteria
Description: partial 16S ribosomal RNA
Rfam family: Bacterial small subunit ribosomal RNA
Source: RNAcentral
UACGUAGGGGGCGAGCGUUAUCCAGAUUUACUGGGCGUAAAGCGCGUGUAGGCGGCUGGUUAGGUGUGAUGUGAAAUCCCCGGGCUCAACCCGGGAACUGCGUCCGAUACUGGAAGGCUUGAAUCCGGGAGAGGGAUGCGGAAUUCCAGGUGUAGCGGUGAAAUGCGUAGAUAUCUGGAGGAACACCGGUGGCGAAGGCGGCAUCCUGGACCGGCAUUGACGCUGAGGCGCGAAAGCCAGGGGAGCAAACGGG